This 253-nucleotide ribosomal RNA is filed under the name uncultured bacterium. RNAcentral describes it as "partial 16S ribosomal RNA". It matches the Rfam family "Bacterial small subunit ribosomal RNA", at positions 524 to 776 of the family's 1533-position model. The record is from RNAcentral.
UACGUAGGGGGCGAGCGUUGUCCGGAUUUAUUGGGCGUAAAGAGCGUGUAGGCGGCCAGGUAGGUCUGCUGUGAAAACUCGGGGCUUAACCCCGGGCCUGCAGUGGGUACGGGCAGACUAGAGUGCGGUAGGGGAGACUGGAAUUCCUGGUGUAGCGGUGAAAUGCGCAGAUAUCAGGAGGAACACCGGUGGCGAAGGCGGGUCUCUGGGCCGUAACUGACGCUGAGGAGCGAAAGCGUGGGGAGCGAACAGG